This 384-nucleotide ribosomal RNA is filed under the name uncultured eukaryote. RNAcentral describes it as "SSU rRNA". It matches the Rfam family "Eukaryotic small subunit ribosomal RNA", at positions 587 to 972 of the family's 1831-position model. The record is from RNAcentral.
AGCUCCAAUACCGUAUAUAAAAGUUGUUGCAGUUAAAAAGAUCGCAUUUCGCCUUCUGGUGGGAGCAAUUGGUUUGACACUCCCUGUGGUUACUCGUAUCGUAUCCCGACAUCCUUGGGGAGAGCCUAUAUGGUAUUAAUGUGUCGAGCAGGGGAUCCUUAUCGUUUCCUGUGAAAAAAUUAGAGUAUUCAAAUCAGGCUUAUGCUGUUGAAUAUAUUAUCAUGGAAUAUUAAGAUCGGACCCCAGUACUUUUUUGUUGGUUUGCACCUCGAUAUAAUGAUUAAUAGGGACAGUUGGGGGUAUUCAUAUUGAUCUGUCAGAGGUGAAAUUCUUGGAUUAGCACAAGACGAACUACUGCGGAAGUAUUUACCAAGGAUGUUUUCA